This is a long non-coding RNA of Oreochromis aureus, 1800 nucleotides long. RefSeq lists it as uncharacterized. The record is from RefSeq and is a predicted model, not a curated record. NCBI's taxonomy places the organism in Eukaryota, Metazoa, Chordata, Actinopteri, Cichliformes, Cichlidae. The transcript has 2 exons.
AAUUCGGGGUAAGGAUCCUGUUAAGAGAUUUCCCACUUCUAUUCAUAUGUUAUUGAAAGUUUAUCUUUAAUUUUAGUGUUAAUAGUUGUUUACCCAUUUAUUCUUUCUAUUUAAUUGUAUUUUAUGAUUUUACUGUUUCACUAGAAGUGAAGCUGAAGUAAAGACAAAGGCAUAGUGUUCUCAGAUAUGAUUCACCCAGUACAUCUCCUCUGUACCUGGCUCUCUACGAGCCGUUUCACUCCCAGGAAGGGGAGAGCAGGACGUUCUUAUCUACACUCCCAAAUACAAAGAGGGGCCCAUUCUUCAGAAUCACACACACACACUCUGAGAUCAUAAACUUCACACACACACACACAUACUCUGAAACGCUAUAAAUAAAGAACUGCCGCAUACGCUGGUUGUGAGCCUGAGACAGCAGCACUCACCCAGCGUGCGCACGUUGUUACCAUCUAAACUGUCUUGAGUGUCUUUAUUUCGCCUGAAGAAUGUCUUGUUUAAAUAUUUACUCCUUACAUUUAUUUGGUCCUUCGAGCCAACAGAGUGACCUCGUCGUCUCCUGGAAUCGUGAACCCGCGCUGAAAGUCUGUCCGGACAGCCUGUUUCCAGUGAAACAGUAAAGACCAACUACGUGAAUUCGCCGUUGGCCAGCGUUUUUAGCAAGAGGUCCACGAUCCCAGGGAGCGAGGAGGAUUCUCUCUGACCGGCAUUUUCGUCCGAACCAGAGCAGGAGCUACAUGAGGACACAUCAGAGGGAGGAAAACAGCUAUUAAAGCUCGAACAUGCAGCUGUUCAGAACCCAGUUUUCACCCUCACACCCCUGAUCUGUUUUUAACAGCAGCUUUUUGCAUCCUGUCUCAUGUGUGUAAAGCGUUCAUGCCAUCAGCAACUUGUUUUUGUUUUUUGUUUGUUUCUUGAUGUUGCUUGAGUGAGGAAUACUGUGACUUCUGAAACAGCUCUCUUCAUGCAACUUCAUGCUUGAUGAUGAUAAUUUCAGAGCCAGCUGAGAGCUGGGUUGAGAGCGAUGCUUUGUUUUAAGUGACAAAGCAGAAAAGUUAAACUUAGUUUGUUUUUGUUUGUUUGUUUGUUUUUUAAUACGAGAGAAUGGUAAUGGAUAAGAAGUGAUAUUUUGUUUAAGUGUUGAAGAAAGCUAAAUACUGCAACAUACGUCUAGUGCAUGAUCUGCGAGCAAUGAAUGGAUCAUCUUAUUUAUCUUUAAAUAAACUCCGAUUAUGGAGACCUGAGUCACAUACUUAGGGCACACCCUUAGGUGAAGGCAGAAAGCUACUAAACAAAGAAAAGAAGCUAUAUACAAUGCGCGAUAGCCACAAGAUUAAGCAUUCACAUUCUUUCUGACUCUUAAUGAGCCUGAGUUAUGACCUUGGCUCCCUAUUUUUCUGCCUCCACCAGAGAUGGGAGUGAAGCUCCCGUGGAAUGUGCUCUGUUCUCCUUACUGCAUCUAUAAAAAUAGCAUUCAGUAACUUGGAUAUAACCUUUCUACUUACAUUUAGGUGGAAGUGCAGACUAGAUGAAAACAGUUAAAUUCAACAAAGAGUUCGAUUACUCUGGAGAAAAGGGAAAUGUGUCUGUAACAGGAAAACGUGUAACAGGAACUACAUGCCCAUACAAAGGAGCUGACUGUGUCAAGGACGCAGACAGACAGAGAGACACAGAGACAGCCAAUAUGUUUACUCUAACUGUUUUAAUAGUUUUGCAAUUUUCAUUAGUUUUAUUUUUCUUUAGUUUUGACUUAAGAUUUUAAAACUAAACACAUUUUUGCUACAAAAUCAGUUAAUUUUGUGA